This 460-nucleotide ribosomal RNA is filed under the name uncultured bacterium. Its description in RNAcentral is "partial 16S ribosomal RNA". It matches the Rfam family "Bacterial small subunit ribosomal RNA", at positions 338 to 795 of the family's 1533-position model. The record is from RNAcentral.
CCUACGGGAGGCAGCAGUGAGGAAUAUUGGUCAAUGGACGAGAGUCUGAACCAGCCAAGUAGCGUGAAGGAUGACUGCCCUAUGGGUUGUAAACUUCUUUUAUAUGGGAAUAAAAUGUUCCACGUGUGGGAUUUUGUAUGUACCCUAUGAAUAAGGAUCGGCUAACUCCGUGCCAGCAGCCGCGGUAAUACGGAGGAUCCGAGCGUUAUCCGGAUUUAUUGGGUUUAAAGGGAGCGUAGGUGGAUUGUUAAGUCAGUUGUGAAAGUUUGCGGCUCAACCAUAAAAUUGCAGUUGAAACUGGCAGUCUUGAGUACAGUAGAGGUAGGCGGAAUGCGUGGUGUAGCGGUGAAAUGCUUAGAUAUCACGAAGAACUCCGAUUGCGAAGGCAGCUUACUGGACUGCAACUGACACUGAGGCUCGAAAGUGUGGGUAUCAAACAGGAUUAGAUACCCCUGUAGUC